RNAcentral lists this long non-coding RNA (2042 nucleotides) under Homo sapiens (human). Its description in RNAcentral is "PREDICTED lncRNA (TCONS_00008775)". The record is from RNAcentral. Lineage: Eukaryota; Metazoa; Chordata; Mammalia; Primates; Hominidae.
AUACAUCUAACUGUUUUUUGAACAGUCUGAACUUGGUAUGUUGGGAGCUAACAUCAAAGAACUAUUUUCCCCCAUUCACAUGAGGACUGUGUCAAAUCUGCCUCCUAUCACUUAAGGAGGUUUUGGGAAAAUCAUUCACUUUCGUUUCUAUCACUUCCAGUAACUUAACAGUACGGCUCAGAUGUAAAACUCCCCUUUUACUUGUUCCUGUCACUUCAGCCCAAGCUUGUCUCAUGAUCUAAAAAUCUGUAAUAGGGAAGAGGGUGUGGUCUGAUCUUUCCCCUUCUAUUUUACCUCAUCUAGUUCCAGAUUCUCAAAUCAUAUAGGGCCAGGAGGAGAGGACCAAAUUAUGUCUUAGUUACCUGGCUGCUGGUGGUUGUCUCUGUUUUUUGUAGAGCACAGGUGUAACGGCUUUCAGGGUGGGGGUGGGGAACUCUCCACUGAGUAGUGUGCUGAUGUGGGAGAUCUCUGGCUUGGCCUCUUCCGGCCCUCCUCCCACUCAGCUCCCACCAAUGAUGUAUCAAUAAAACCUCUUGCUGCUGGAGAUCUGCUUACCUGGUGGCCAGGGUGGCAAGACAAGUGAAGCCUGACUAUGCCUGCAGCAUCCACUGUGGAAACUACUACAUCUUUGCCAUGCCAAACACUUCUGCUUAAGCAUGCAGGUGAGAAGGGAAGAUACAUGUAAUCUGCAUGUCUGCCACCAUUCCUUGUUACCCUUUUUCAUAUCCCAUGAGCACAGCACUCCAGCGGACCUACCCAAAAUAUGUGGGAGUUCAGUGAAACUCAAACAGCAUGCUUCUGGUCAGCCUAUACAGUCUCUGUCCUGGUGAGGAGCAUGAUCACCAACAGGCAAGAUCUUCUGGCCUUGAAGUUUCGCUUGAGUUAAAAGAGCUCAUCUCAGGACUUUCUGAAUUUUCAGCCCAUAUGACAUGGAAGAAGAGUUAGAAGGGGAAUCUGACUGCUUGGAUCAGGGACUGUCUGGCUGGUGGAACUUGAAUGUAUACAACACUCUUCAUUUGCAUGUUUUGACAUUUUAAAAAAUGUUUUCACUUUCCUUAUCUACUUUGACUCUAAUAACAUCCUGAAAGGUGCUGUUGUCCUCUUUCUGGACCUUAGAGAUGUACAGUGCGCCACUCUGAGGAUCAAGUCUGACCCUGCCUUUAAAUUUGGAUUCAAAGUACUUAGAUUUUCUGGAAUCCCAUUCUACAAUCUUCUGGUCGAAAGUAUAAAACCAGUCUGCAGGUGUACCCAACAGCUCCGAAGAGACAGUGACAUCGAGAACGGGCCAUGAUGACGAUGGCGGUUUUGUCGAAAAGAAAAGGGGGAAAUGUGGGGAAAAGCAAGAGAGAUGAGAUUGUUACUGUGUCUGUAUAGAAAGAAGUAGACAUAGGAGACUCCAUUUUGUUCUGUACUAAGAAAAAUUCUUCUGCCUUGAGAUGCUGUUAAUCUAUGACCUUACCCCCAACCCCGUGCUCUCUGAAACAUGUGCUGUGUCAAACUCAGGGUUAAAUGGAUUAAGGGCGGUGCAAGAUGUGCUUUGUUAAACAGAUGCUUGAAGGCAGCAUGCUCAUUAAGAGUCAUCACCACUCCCUAAUCUCAAGUACCCAGGGACACAAACACUGCGAAAGACCGCAGGGACCUCUGCCUAGGAAAGCUAGGUAUUGUCCAAGGUUUCUCCCCAUGUGAUAGUCUGAAAUAUGGCCUCGUGGGAAGGGAAAGACCUGACCAUCCCCCAGACCAACACCCGUAAAGGGUCUGUGCUGAGGAGGAUUAGUAUAAGAGGAAAGCAUGCCUCUUGCAGUUGAGAGAAGAGGAAGACAUCUGUCUCCUGCCCAUCCCUGGGCAAUGGAAUGUCUCAGUAUAAAACCCGAUUGAACAUUCCAUCUACUGAGAUAGGGAAAAACUGCCUUAGGGCUGGAGGUGGGACAUGUGGGCAGCAAUACUGCUUUGUAAAGCAUUGAGAUGUUUAUGUGUAUGCAUAUCUAAAAGCACAGCACUUGAUCCUUUACCUUGUCUAUGAUGCAAAGACCUUUGUUCACGUG